This 609-nucleotide long non-coding RNA is filed under the name Pan troglodytes (chimpanzee). Its description in RNAcentral is "long non-coding RNA NONPTRT017966". Lineage: Eukaryota; Metazoa; Chordata; Mammalia; Primates; Hominidae. The record is from RNAcentral.
CAGGGAUGGGACCCGCAGGGCUCCCACCUCCGCUGAGUCGUGCCAGAGCUGGUCGGGCCCCGAGUCAGUAAUCGCAAAAAACAGCUACCAUUUUCUCAGCACUCUUGUGUACUCAGGAAGUGCUGGGCGUUCCCGCCGAAUCCUGAAUCAACAGCCCCAUAUCAGGAUCACUAACCCAUUUUGCAGAAGAGGACGUUGAGGCUCAGAGCCCUCUGCAGGUGGAUCCUGAGACCUAGCCCCCCAGUCUGGCCUCUCUGUCCCCGAAGAACCUGAAUGUGACAUUGGAGGCUCUUUCCAGUUCACACCCCACCCCUCAAGCUGUGGCCAUGCAAAUCUCUCUACUGUUUCCCCAAGCCUUUCUGCGUUCAGGGCGGUGCUCCCCUGAUCUUACACUCCCCCAGACUCUCGGUACCCUCUCUUCCUGCAAGAAGCCAUUGGAGUGGGCGCGGUGGCUCACGCCUGUAAUCCCAGCACUUUGGGAGACCAAGGCAGGCGGAUCACAAGGUCAGGAGUUGGAGCCAGCCUGGCCAAUAUGUUGAAACCCCGUCUCUACUAAAAAGACAAAAAUUAGCCAGGCGUGGUAUUGGGCGCCUGUAGUCCCAGCUACUC